GAUGACGUAGCAUGAGUUUCCUUACUAUCAUAUAAUAAUUAAUAGUUUGUCCAUUCUGGAGUGCCCAACGUACAAAGCAGGGCCAAUCCUUGACCUGGCAGUUAUUGGGCUGAGCUGUACUGCCUAUGUGGCUCGGCUCAUUUUGACUCCACUAUGGAGGUUGUUUUCUUCUUGGCCAGCUGCCAAGUCAAGCUGUCAUCUAUUCAAUAUUUGGUGGUUUGCAUAUUUUUCAGGAAUGGAGCUGAUCUUGCAUCAUUAGCCACAACAUCAAUUAUACCUGUUGAUUUGAAUGCUUUCAUUCUGAAGGUAAGAUACAGAAUAUCUCCCUUGAAUGUUGAUUAAUUACUUCACUUUUAUUCGUUAUGUGUGACAUCAGCUGUUGUAUCUUUGAUUCAGAUGGAACUUGACAUAACCUCUUUGGCACAUGUUAUUGGUGAUAAUAAAAUCGUUGCACGCUUUAUGGAAGCUUCUGAAGCUAGAAAGAAGGCCAUGAAUUCUAUUUUCUGGAACUCAGAGAGGGGACAGUGGCUCGAUUACUGGUUGAGUAAUUUUGAUGCAUCCAAGGUGGUCUCAUGUACUAAACUUUGAAAGCCCUCCUACUGAAGAACACUGAUAUUGAUUUUCUACCUUUUUCAUCUUCUUUACGAGAUUAUAGGACGCUUACACAUGGAAUGCCUCAAGUCAGAAUCAGAAAUUAUAUGCUUCAAAUUUUGUUCCUUUGUGGAUCCAGCUGUUCAAUUCAGGUUUCUAAUAUUCACUCGCUCGUGUAAUUUGCUAAGCACUAUCUUUCAUGAAUGUUGAAGCUUUAAGUGGACGUAAGUUAAGAUGGUGGUGUUGUCGGAAAUUCGACUAACGCAAUCAAAAGAACAAAUAAAAUAAGCAGAAAAAUAGAAAACAGUAAAUGAAGCGAGGUAUGCCAAUAAAAUAAGCAAAUCUCCUUGAGACAGAUUUCGCCCCCCCCAUGAAGUGCAAACGGGAUUAUGGACGUUUGUCUCCCAAAAUACAACGCUCAUUCUAAGGUCGAUAUUGCACAAUACCAACCUUGUCGAUCGAACCAAUGAAUGAUCGUACUCGAACGAAAUAAUCACGGAAAUAUAAGAGAAUUUUUAGAGCAGAAUAUGGAGAGAGAAGAAUUUAGAAAUCAAUUGAAUUCGUAAUUGAUUUUGUGUGUCAAAAACGAAUCUGGGGGUCUCUAUUUAUAGAGAUUGAAGUGUCUCAUGGAAUAGGUGUGUAACAUUUCAGGAACUGGUGCACCACUUGAUCUGAUUCGUCUUAGCCAUUGGAUCGCACUAUUUUCAUGAUCUGACGGCCCAAAUUGAACCAUGAAGUGAAGUGUCCAUUCAUCAUGCCUAUUCACCAAUUUCUGAACAGUCUCAGCCAUGCGGAUGCCACGCGUACAUUUAACCGCCAUGCAGGACGAAGGGACGCGACCUGCCACUCGUGCGCCACCUAGAAUGCCAACUUACCGAGCCUUGUGCUGCCACGUCAUCGAACCACGAGUCCAAUUCCGAAAACUAUAAGACUCCCCAGCUCCUCGCGACGAUGCGUACGUGCGAAGUGCCAAGUGCCAAGUGCGCCCAAUGCGUACUUUGCGACGUGCGCGUGCCAGGACCGGGUUCGGGGAGCGGCGAGAGUGGUGCAAAGCACCACUCUAGUGGUGACUAAAGUUAGCCAAGUGGUAGGUAACUUAUUAAAUUAUAUAUUAUUCACACAAUUCACUAUAUAAACAAGACUAUUUUCUUGUAAACUUUCGAUGUGGGACUCCUUUCCAUAUAAAAAACACUUAAAAUGGGCUUAUCAACAUAUGAGUCUAUAUUGGAGACUUUUCCAAUUCACCCAAAUUAAUUGCAAUGGUCCACAUCAUUAAAUAUUACAUUUAAUAUUUUUAAACCCAAAUUAAAUUCAAUUAAUUCCAACAAUCCCCCACAUGAAUGGAAGAAGUCGACUCAAAUCAAAGAAGACGGAAGAAGAGUACUAUCUGAAAGAUAACGCAUCAAGAUACGUAGCUUUCUCUUUGAACCUUCUUUAGUAAGAAUCUAUCGAACUCACUUGGCUAGUCAGUGAACGCAACGUUUUGAACUGUCAGCUGUUAUUGCAAGCUCAGACAACAGACCAAACACAUUAUCUCUCAUAUCAAACUUGGUUCUCUAUUGUGUUCAUUAUUUCGGCCCUGGGCUACUUGGGUUUUGCGAGUGAUUUAGAGAAUUCGCCUAAGUAAAUUCUCAUAGAAUCGGCCAAGUUCGCACUAACAUUGGUGAUGCACUAUAAAGAGUACCCUACUGUAAUUACUUGUACCAUUUAUAGUCAUCAUUAAAAGCAUAGCUUAUCCAUAAUACACUUCAUAGUCAGCACUUUUUGCAUCAUAGAAAUGGGAAGGAGUUAAACUCCUAAGUGCUUCUUAUCGAGUCAUUCAUAAUUAGUUUUCCUAUUGAACCUAGUCCAUGGGAUCUCCAGUUGCCAGGUUAGGUUUCCACUAAGAUGACUCAUUGGAUUUUAGGCUUUAAACCCAUUUCCCUCGAUGCGCAGUCUAUACCCUCUCUAGAUAACCCUUUAGUGAACGGAUCUGCUAGGUUUUCUUUUGACUUAACAAAAUCAAUUGAUAUUGUUCCAUUUGAGAGCAACUGCCGAACGGUGUUAUGUCUACGACGUAUAUGUCUCGACUUACCGUUAUACACAAAAUUUUCAGCCCUGGCUAUUGUGGCCUGGUUAUCACAAUGAAUACAAAUAGCCGGUACAGGCUUUGGCCAUAUAGGAAUAUCUUCUAUGAAGUAUCUUAACCAUUCUGCUUUUUCUCCUGCUUUGUCUAAAGCAAUAAAUUCAGAUUCCAUAGUAGAUCGAGCUAUACACGUUUGCUUAGAAGAUUUCCAUGAUAUAGCGCCACCACCGAGAGUAAAUACAUAGCCACUAGUAGACUUUGACUCGUCUGUAUCUGAUAUCCAAUUGGCAUCACUAUAUCCUUCAAUUACUAGAGGAUAAUUUCCAUAAUGUAAUGAAUACUUUUUGGUUCGUUUCAAGUAUCCCAAAACUCUAAGUAAUGCAUCCCAAUGUUGAUUACUUGGGUUACUUGUGUAACGACUCAGCUUACUUACCGCGUAAGCUAUAUCAGGUCUUGUACUAUUCAUCAUGUACAUUAAACUACCAAUAAUUUGGGAAUAUUCUAACUGCUAUUUCCCAUUUCCACUAUUCUUGUGAAGAACUAUACGUGGAAGAAAUGGGUUACUCGUCUCUUUAAUAUUAUGAGUCUUAAACCUCUCAAUUAUUUUAUCAACGUAAUGGGUUUGAGAUAAGACUGUUCCAUUUGAUGUUCUAGAUAUCUUUAUUCCUAGAAUCACGUCUGCUUCACUCAUAUCUUUCAUGUCAAAGUUAUUGGUAAGUAUAUUCUUUGUUCUAUUGAUGACUUCUAUAUUAGUCCCUAAUAUAAGCAUGUCAUCAACAUACAAACAGACGAGUACGUAUGCCUUUUCAAAUUUUUUCGAAUAUACGCAUUUGUCACAUCCAUUUAUGAUGAAUCCAUUCCUAAUCAUGACGCUGUCAAACUUUUUGUGCCAUUGUUUAGGAGUUUGCUUCAAACCGUAUAAGGCCUUAACUAGUUUGCAAACUUUGUUCUCUUGUCCUUUUACUAUGAAACCUUCUGGUUGUUCCAUAUAUACUUCUUCGUUUAAAUCACCAUUCAGGAAUGCAGUCUUAAUAUCCAUUUGAUGUAUUUGUAAGUUGGACAAGACUGCAAUAGCAAUUAAAACCCAAAUAGAAGUAAUUCUUGUUACUGGAGAAUAUGUGUCAAAGAAAUCAAUUCCUUCUUUCUGACGAUAUCCUUUUGCAACCAAUCGAGCCUUGUAUUUGUCUAUUGAACCAUCAGAUCUUAACUUUCUUUUAAAGAUCCAUUUGCAUCCUAUUGGUUUAGUUCCCUUAGGAAGAUCAACCAAUUGCCAAGUAUUAUUAUUCAUAAUAGAUUCAAUUUCACUAUUUAUAGCUUCCUUCCAGAAUACGGAUUCUGGACUAGUCACAGCUUCUUUAAAUGUUUGGGGCUCUUUCUCAAUUACGAAAGAAAUAAAGUCUGGACCAAAGGAUUUAGCGACCUUUGCUCUUUUACUCCUUCUUGAUUCAGGUUCUAUAUUGUUUUCAAUAGCAUUAUCUCGUGUUCUCUUUAGAGUAUUCUCAUGAAUAUCUCUUUUAUUAGGGAACACAUCUUCAAAGAAUUCAGCAUCUCGAGAUUCAAAAAUUGUAUUGACAUGAAUGUCACUUAUAUCAGAUUUAUGCACAAGAAAUCUGUACGCACUACUAUUUAUUGCAUAUCCGAUAAAAAUGCAAUCAAUAGUUUUAGGACCUAACUUAAUCCUUUUGGGAGGUGGAAUAGCCACUUUAGCUAGGCACCCCCACACUUUUAAGUAUUUAUAGGAAGGCAUUCUACCUUUCCAUAACUCAUAAGGUAUAGAACCAGUUUUCUUAUGGGGAACUCUAUUCAGAAUAAAGUUAGCAGUUAGCACUGCUUCCCCCCACAAGUUUUGUGGUAAUCCAGAACUUAUAAGCAUAGCAUUAACCAUGUCUUUUAAAGUUCUAUUUUUCCUCUCAGCAAUCCCAUUUUACUGCGGAGUAUACGGGGCUGUUGUUUGGUGAAUAAUACCAAACUUAGCACAUAAUUCAUCAAACAUGGACGAAUCAUAUUCACCACCUCUAUCGGAUCUUAAUACCUUAAUUGUUUUUCCAAGUUGAUUUUCAACUUCGUUUUUGUAAGUAACAAAUACAUUCAAUGCUUCGUUUUUGCUACUUAAUAAAUAAACUUGGCAAUAUUUACUGUAAUCAUCUAUAAACGUGAUAAAUUAUUUUUUACCACCUCGAGUCUGAACAAAUUUUAGAUCACAAAUAUCGCUGUGUAUUAAACACAACGGUUCACUACUCCUUUCAAUUAUGUUAAAAGGUUUUUUAGCAAAUUUUGCUUCAACACAAAUUUCACAUUUAUGUUUGUCUUCGGAGUCAAGUUUAGGUAUAAGACCUAAACCUACAAGUUUUCUUAAGGAAGCACGAUUUACAUGUCCUAAUCUGCUAUGUCAUAAAUUCGAAGAUUCAAGCAAGUAAACAGAAGCAUUAGUUUUAUUGAUAACUUGUGGAUACAAAUAUGUUGAUUUUUUGUCCACUACAACAGCAUUGGUCUUAAAUAGACCAUCAAGUAAAUAACCCUUUCCAACAUACAUGCCCCCCUUAGUAAGUAUAAAUCUAUCAGAUUCAAAUACCAUUUUAAAUCCUUUCUUACUAAGAAUAGCUCUUGAAAUCAAAUUCUUUCUGAUAUCUGGGACAUGUACAACUUCAUUAAGCGUCAGUUCCUUCCCCGAUGUGAAUUUCAGAAUAACCUUUCCAAUCCCUUCAAUAUUGGAUGUUGUAGAAUUUCCCAUGUAAAGACACUCAUUAUGAUUCACGGUCUUAUAUUCAGCGCAUAGAUCCUUAUCUGCACAGAUGUGACGAGUGGCUCCUGUGUCCAACCACCAAUCCUUGGCAUUAGAUACCAUAUUAACUUCAGAAACAACAGCAGAUAGGUUGAUAUCUCCAACAUCCGUAGAAAUUUUAUCCACUUCGGUUAUAUUGGCUUGGGGCGGUUUCUUUUUCUGUGUAUCCUUCUUUUUGUUUCGACAGUCUUUAGCUCGAUGUCCCGGCUUCCCGCAAGUAUAACAGUUGCCUUUGAACCGUUUUGCAUUGUUGACUUUUCUUUGUCCAUAGAUGAGCCAGAGCGCUUCCUUUUCUUGUUCUUAGACCCCGAGUCUUCCACCAUGUUAGCCUUUGCUUCCAUGUUGCGGACAUUAUUCUUUUUUGCAGCCCGGUUGUCUUCUUCAAUGCGAAGUCGAACAAUUAGAUCCUCCAUCGUCAUCUCUUUGCGUUUAUGCUUGAGAUAGUUUUUGAAAUCUUUCUAUAGUGGAGGUAGUUUCUCGAUCAUAGCAGCAAUUUGGAAAGAUUCACUCAAAGUCAUACCUUCAACUUCAAUAUUGUGAAGUAGAACUUGUAUCUCUUGAACUUGACUCAUAACUGUCUUUGAAUCAGUCAUUUUGAAAUCUAGAAAUUUGCCGACAAUAAAUUUCUUCAUUCCGGCAUCUUCGGUUUUGUAUUUUUUGUCAAGAGACUUCCACAGUUCUUUAGCCGUCUUGUAAUUACAAUACAUACUAUAUAAAGUGUUAUCUAAUCCAUUGAGAAUGCAAUUACGGCAUAAGAAAUCCGCACGUUUCCAUGCUUCAAUAGCUAACUGAGUAUUUUUAUCAGUAGCAUUCUCCGAUGUUCGUGCAGGACAUUCUUCACGCAGAAAUUUUACUAAGUUCAAUGCUGUCAAAUAGAAUAGCAUCUUCUGUUGCCAACGUUUGAAAUCCGUGCCAUUGAACUUUUCCGGUUUCUCAUAUUGUGAAGCUGGUGGCAUGACAAAUUGAUUGGAACCAGAAUUUGGCGCAAUCACAGCAUUGGUAUUGCUCUCAACGGUACCAAUCGCAGCGCUAGUAUUAUUAUUUGAUGUACUAGCCAUUUUCUGUAAGACCACAAUUACAGAAAAUAAUUAAUAAUAGAAAUGUAGAAGUAAUGAGAAAAAUAAAUCUGUCUUAAGAUUGUUGUCGAAAAUUCGACUAACGCAAUCAAAAGAACAAAUAAAAUAAGCAAAAAAAUAGAAAAUAGUAAAUGAAGUGAGGUAUGCCAAUAAAAUAAGCAAAUCUCCUUAAGACAGAUUUUGCCCCCCAAUGAAGUGCAAACGGGAUUAUGGACGUUUGUCUCCCAUGAUACAACGCUCAUUUGAAAGUCGAUAUUGCACAAUACCAAUCUUGUCGGUCGAACCAAUGAAUGAUCGUACUCGAACGGAAUAACCACGGAAAUAUAAGAGAAUUUUUAGAGCAGAAUAUGGAGAGAGAAGAAUUUAGAAAUUAAUUGAAUUCGUAAUUGAUUUGGUGUGUCAAAAACGAAUCUGGGGGUCUCUAUUUAUAGAGAUUGAAAUGUCUCAUGGAAUAGGUGUGUGACAUUUCAGGAACUGGUGCACCACUUAGUUUGAUUCGUCUUAGCCAUUGGAUAGCACUAUUUUCAUGAUCUGACGGCCCAGAUUGAACCAUGAAGUAAAGUGUCCAUUUAUAAUGCUAUUCACCAAUUUCUGAACAGUCACAGCCAUGCGGAUGCCACGCGUACAUUUAAUCGCCACGCAGGACGAAGGGACGCGACCUACCACUCGUGUGCCACCUAGAAUGCCAACUUGCCAAGCCUUGUGCUGCCACGUCAUCGAACCACGAGUCCAAUUCCGAAAACUAUAAGGCUCCCCAGCUCCUCACGACGAUGCGUACAUGCGAAGUGCCAAGUGCGCCUCUAAAGCGCCCAAUGCGUACUUUGCGACGUGCGCGUGCCGGGACCGGGUCCGGGGAGCAGCGCGAGUGGUGACUAGCCUUUGGCUAGCUAAAGUUAGCCAAGUGGUAGGUAAUUUAUUAAAUUAUAUAUUAUUCACACAACCCACUAUAUAAACAAGACUAUUUUCUUGUAAACUUUCGAUGUGGGACUCCUUUCCAUAUAAAAAACACUUAAAAUGGGCUUAUCAACAUAUGGGCCUAUAUUGGAGACUUUUCCAAUUCACCCAAAUUAAUUGCAAUGGCCCACAUCAUUAAAUAUUACAUUUAAUGUUUUUAAACCCAAAUUAAAUUCAAUUAAUUCCAACAGGUGGUUCUUUUCAAAUUGCAUUUUGACAGUAGCAUGUUGUGAACCACCUCAUCUAAAAGCUGAACUUGUUUGAGAGAUAUUUAUUUAUUUGAAUUUAGUCUUCAGCAUGCCUCUUUACGUGCAAACUGGAUCAACCUUUAUCAAAGGCCGGACAGUUGCACAAUUAUUGUGAAUGAGCGGUGGAGAGACUUGAAAUCUGAAUCUGCACAAUAAGCUUAAGCUGAUAUAUAUAUACGCAUUAAUAUUAAAAUUUUCAUAUGAUAAUUAGCCUUCAUGGACUAAUAACCAUGUGUUCACCAUGUUAUAGUGGAAAUAUCACCAUUUGAUUAUUGUUUUGUAAUAAACUUCCUUGUUAGUUGCCUCUUAUUUCAGGUUUUGAUUCGCUUUGAAAGCAUAACUUUAUUACUGUUUUCUUUCAGAAGUGAUAUUAAGAUACUCCAUAUAUAAGAAAAAUAUGUCAUCUAUUGACGAACUACCAUGAUAUGUUUAUGUUUUAUUUAUAUAUGAAGACGUCAAGGUGGUAGAUGAAGUCCUCCGAAGUCUCCAAAAUUCAGGCCUGCUCCGUCCUGCAGGGAUUGCAACUUCUUUGACAAAUUCAGGACAACAAUGGUAAAUAAGUUGCUCGACCAUUUAUCCUAACUUGCCUGUGGUUCUUAAAGGUUUAUUACUGUCUGAGGAUUGUGAGGAUGAGAAUGUUAUUAAAUCAUGCCUUGUUUUUGUUUCAUUUUUGGAGUAUGUGAUCUUGAUGCAUCUCAAUCAGGGACUUUCCGAAUGGUUGGGCACCGCUUCAACACAUGAUUGUUGAAGGCCUGGUAAGGUCGAGAUCUGAACAAGCAAGGUCUAUAGCAGAAGAUAUUGCUGUGAAGUGGAUCAGAACAAACUAUGUGGCUUACAAGAAAACGGGAAAUAUGCAUGAAAAAUACAAUGUCGAAAAAUGUGGAGAUUUGGAGGUGGUGGUGAAUACGUACCCCAAGUAAGCAAAGUUUAUCUUUUUAGACGUAAUGAUCCUUUCUAUACUUCUUAACAAUUUCAAACUAGCUCGUGGAGAGGUAGAACAUUCUGUGCAAUUGAAAUAAUCAAGUGAUUGUUUUACUUUAUUGAACAAAUGAUUUUGUUGGACUGUGAGGAGCCUAAUUAUAAUGUGCACUUAUCCCUAAACCGCGGGUCAACCCCAUAUUCCUAUAUAAGUAAAGCUUUGAGAUGGCCAUUUUAGUUUGUGCGAGAGAGGUGCGAGGAAAAUUUUGUAUUCUUAUCCUCCAUUUUAUAAUGAAAACCUACAACAGCCAGAUGAUGCAAGUCUCGUAUUGAGAGUGAAUCUUGAUAAACAUCUGUGCUUUGCUUGUUUAUUCGUUGUGUUUCUGAUUAUUUUUGGCUUCUGAGAACAGGGAUUAGAACUUAAGUUUCAGAUUUCGUAUUAUUUUUGCGUGUCAGAAGUAAAUCAUUGAUCUGUAUUUCAUGGGCUUCUUUACAUGUCUUUACAGACGGGAUUUGGCUGGUCAAAUGGUGUUGUAUUAGCUUUCUUGGAGGAAUUCGGAUGGCCUCAAGACCUGAAGCUUGAUUGUCCAUAAGCAAUGGAAAAACAGAAUUCCAUAUAAUUCUGGAACAAAAUAUUUGCAUUCUUCAACUUUUUGUGCACUUGCUAGAAAGUUGCAUGGAGAGAUUGUGAAAUGAUUGUAAUCUUAACAUUAAAGCUUCAGUCCAGAAGUGGAUUCAGGUACAAAGGCUUGACAGCAUAUUCGCUCGAUUUAUAUUUUGUUAUUGUCAUGUCUUCUACAAUGAAUGAAAUUACAUAAAUAAGUUUCAUAAAAAUAAGCUACUCAUUUAUUUCGACGUUUAGCCAAACAGGCUUACACGUGAUUUCCAUGUUGGGCAGAGACAAAUUUCUUAAGGUAAUUAUUGGUUGUAAAUUCUAGAUUUUGCAAAAAGUGAUUCGAUGUGAAUGAUCACUCAACUAAGCUCCAAAGCACAAAAUAAGUGGAGUUAGGUACCUAUUACUUAAUUAUUUAAUCAAACAUCAAACUAAUGACAAACGCAAAUUCAUCAUCCGAUACGUGAUUUUGAAGUAAAUAUGUUUUAUAUACAUAGAAUAUGCUUUAACAUUACAAGAAAAUUUGGCAUUAGCAAAUUAUAGUAUUUUUCAAGUUUUAAGCGAGACGAAGUUAUACGCACUUGAAAUAUUUCCAAAUAUUUUCUUAAGAAUAAAGAGAGAAGCGAGAAUAAAAACAAAUAAAAAUUUACAAGACUCGACUCGGAUAUUACAAAGAAUUGUCUAUUGACACCAACACCAUUACCAUGAUUAGUGUUUCCAACCAGAGUAGUGUACAUUUUUCCAAGAGUUAGGUAAGAUUUUAGUAUCACUAAUGUUAAAACAUCAGUAUAUGUGGCACUAAUAUGUUAUUAAAUAAAACGUAUAAUAAAGAAUAAUAAAAUGUGUCACUUAUUUUACCUUUCAUUGAAUUUAUAACAUUGUGCAAUCUAAAUUGAUGUUAUAGCACCAUUGAUGCUAGAUAACAUUAUUCGGUACACUCACAUAUUUCUUAUUUUUAUUUGAACUUGAUAGUAUAUUAUUAUUAUUUUGACAAAUUUAGCACUUCUUGUGGAUUGAUUUCCAUCCACAAAACGAUUUCUCUCUCAGAAUCAAAGAACGAGGAGUUGAUGUCCUAAUGGUAAAUAGACGGAAUCUAUCGCUAAGAAUUAACACUACCGCUAACGGUUGAAAGCAUGCUGUCAAGAAAUUGAUCUGGUUACCAAAUUGCUACAAAGUCUAUAAAUUGGGGAUGAGUGCUGAUAUUUUCCCUUUAUUUACAUAUCAAUCACCACUUGAUUAAGUCGAGAGCUGCUUCACAUACAGGGUUUGGGUUCCGUACCGAAUAAUCGUAGCACCGAGAGGGUGGGUGGGGGUUUUUGAAAGUUUUUUACAGGUUGCAGGACUCACCUGGUGUGAUUGUUGAACCCCUACCCUAUUAACCUAGCAAAAUUCAAUUAAGUCACUGUUUAGUCUCCAUUUUUCAAAACGCAUUCUUUCAUAAACUUAUUUUCAACCACAUAUUUCAUAAAAUCCACAUAAUUUUUAAUAAAUCAAACGGGGUUGUUGUAAAAUACUAAAUAAGCAUAAGCAUUUAAAAAAAAAAUGUUCUAGGAGUUUGGCUUAUGUUGUCUUUACUUUUUGUAAAUUAAAAAUGUUAUAACUGGAAGUGGACAAUCUUAGAUCAAAGUCAUUAACAAGUGUCGGGUAAUGAAAAUAUUACAUAUAUAAUUAAGGAGGUAGAAAGAUGAUUAAUCUAUUAUUAAUUAAAGAUAUUUUAGAUUACAAGAUUGAAAAAAUCAAGCCCUAAUAUUAAGGAAGGGCCCCUCCAAAGAUUCUAGGGUCCUAUAUAAAGAGUGAAAAUCAUUGAUGAAUGGUAGAAUAUAAUGACUCCAUUUUAUAUUCUAUUUAAUUAAUUUUGAUUAAGAAAUGAUUAGUGGAAAGUGAUUAUAAGUUGCACAAAAGUAUAUGUAGUUCUAUGUGAUUUGUUCUUUUCAAUGUAUCUCAUUAGUCAAUUAGAGUGGCUAAAAAAUAAUCGAAUUGGAAAGUCACUAGUCAUGCACAUAUUUGGCUAAGCUUUUUUUAUUAAAAAAAAAAAAAAAAAACAUUAUGAUAAGUAGCAUGCAUGAGCAAAGUGGUGAGAGCAUCUCCAAUGUGUACUAUGGACUAUCAUCUAGGUGACAUGCAAGUCGAAAAUGAAAAGUCUAUUCAGAUAUGUUACAAUUUUAUUUUUUUUUAGUAAAAAAUUACUUAUUUUGAGAGUUAUUAAAAAAAUUAAUUUACUUAUUUACUUUCAAAAAAAGAGUAAAGCUCUCAAUUCUCAUCCUUUAGUUUAGAAAGAAGGCUAAAUUCUUCGGUUCAAACCCGAUUAAUUUCAAGCGAAACAUGUUCAAUUGCUGUAGUUGCUGCAAAGGUUAUUCAAAUUUCUGUUAAUUAACGAGAGUUAUUGAAAGUAGGUUUAAACUUAUUUAAAAUUAUUGCAAGGAUGCAUCAUGCAUGCAUUAAGCCACCGAGAACACAAUAGAAGAGGUUGACAACAAGGAAAGUAGAAGAAUAAAAUACAUACAUAUUAAGUUCACAUUUAAGUUUAGAGGUCAAGUUAGUUGAGUUGAUUACAUAAAGAGUUUGAGUUUUCACUUCUAAAAUAAAGUGCUCUUUGUUCUUUUCAAUCUAAUAUAAGUUGAGUACUUGUUUUGAGGAAUACAGUGUAAUGUGUUAACCAAUUGACUAUUCAGAUUUGCGAUUUGUUCUUAUUGCAGAAAUAGUUAAAGGUGACACAAGUACACCUGAAAUGUAUUGAACGGACCACAUGUCGAGUUUAAUUCUAUAGCAUGACCGUGCGGAUAAUUAAAUUCCACUUGAUCGCUAUGUAUUUUAUCUAAAUCUCUUGAUCGGGUUAUGUAUAUCUUUUCGUGAUUUUAAUGAUUUUUUGAUUCAUCAAUGGGUGAGAUUAAUUUGAUUUGUCAAAUACCUUGUUGAGUUAGGAGUUUGAGAAUGAGCAAAGUAGAUAAUAUGAAUUCAUGUCAGAAACUGUUGCCUUGAAAAAUGGGUAGAGUAACUACUUAAAUAUUUGUUUUUGUACAAUUAAAAAUUGAGCUCUAUUUUUUCGACAUUGGUGAUUAGUUCGCAAGACCGCUAAAGAAAAUGGUGAUUAAGUUAGUGAGAAUAAUUAGAAUGACAAAACGGUAAUCUAUGCUUAUACAUAAUUAUCAAAUAUCGAAUGGGAAUAAAAUACAUACACGGCAAGUCAAAGAAAAGUAUUACAACAUUUUUGGAUUUCUAUGAUCUUAUAUUCUCCAAGAGUUCAGUUUUUUACCUUUAGAGGUAAAAUAAAAAAAUUAAUAAUUAGAGUGGGUGGUCUAGGAUAGACUAGACAUUAUCUAAUUUUUGGAGCUUUGAUAAUAUAUGUCCGAUUAGGUCCAUGUGGUAACUCUAUAAAGUAUUGAAACUUAAUUAAAGUAAUUAUAAUAGUUUUGGAUUUAAUUAUAAUUAUAAUAAAGUUGUAUACUUAGUUGUAAUUGUCAUAAAAGCUAUAAACUUAAUUAUAAUUGUAAUUGAAGUUCAAGGACUACACGUAUAAUUAAAUGUAAAUUAAUUGGAUUUGGACUUUAUUAAAAUUCUUAUUUGAAUGUGAAAUUAUUAUUGUACAAGGAUUGAAACUAUUCUAUCACUAUAAAUAGAAACUAGAUAGAAUCUAAAAUUCUAUAGCAGUCAAAAUACAUAAUUUCAUAGUAUUCAUAUUUGGAGAGAAAAUAAUUAUUUUCUUACUUUAUUCAAUUGUCAAGUUCAAGAAUUAGUUCCUUGAUUUAAUUAAAAGAAUGUACCCACCUACCAGUGUAAUCUUAACUUUGGAGAAUAUCAUAAAAGAUUUGGAGGUUUGAAGCAUCAAACUCUUGCAAUUAAAAGUUGAAAGCUUGUAAUCCAAAAAAAUAGAAAUUCGUGAUUCAGAAUUAAUCAAGAAUUGACCAUUGAAUUUAGGUAAAAAUUCGAAUUAUUUUAUUCUUGAUAUAACAUACAUGUGAAUAUCUAGACAAUCUUGUUUAUUAAAUUAAAUAAUUUUUUAAUUACUGAAUAAUUCUGCUUCUGCACUCCAACAUACAAAAUAAAAAACAAAGUGUCCUUUCCAUAUGUUUGCUUUAUUUUCGAAUUUAUGUGCAUCGAUAGCUAUAAUUUUGAAUUUAUUAUUGCAAAUUUUUUUUCGAGUUUGGUAUAUUAAAACUUGAUCUUCAAAUGUUGCCUAUUCCCUUUUUAGUUUCUUUCAUUAUAUCAUUCUAUUUUAUGCACCGUUAAUUCAAGAUUAAUUGCUUUUAUAAAAUACAAUUCAGUCAGAGGUGGGAAAUUAGCUAAGCUACAAAGUCAGACAAAAAAAACCCGCUCCCUAAAGAAGCAAUAAAAGAAAAAAUAAAAAUAAAAAAAAGGAAACCAAAGAAGAACUGAACACAUUACACACACACCAAAAAUCACAUAAACACAAAUUCGAAAAAUUGAAGUGGGUUUGAGGAUAUUAUGGUUCAAAUAUGGGAUUUUCAUAACUGUAAAAUGAAAUGCUUCCUUCAUACUAAUCCACAUCUAAAACUGUACAGUGGUUUUCAAAGCAUGCAGCUUGCAAACAUAAUCAAAUAUUGUAAUAAGUCUGAAAAUAAAUUCUAUGCCCUUAUUCGAUUUAUCUAAAAGUCAAACUUUUAGUAAAUUUUGAUAAAAGUGUUGAAAAAUAAAAUGGAUGGAGGUAAUAUAUAUGACACGAUAUAAAGUAUAUGAUUAUAAGCAAAUAACAAGAUAAAAGGCAAAUAAUUAAUAGGCAGAGGAAUUGAGUAUUUUAUUUAAUUAACUAAUAUGAAGAAAAUAAAUACAUUAACUAUGCUUACACAAUUAUUCUACAUUUCAAUAAUACAAAAUUUGUGAAAAGAAUCUAAUAUUUAUAGGGGUGCAUUUUAAACAAUAGAAAUACCAUAAAAAUGAAAACAAGAUCAAAAAUUACGUGGAAUGAAUGAAACAAUAUUUUUCCAAUAAAAAUGAGUCUAAUGAAGGAAAUAAUAUUUUUUUUUUUCAAUAAAAGCAAGAGUAGUAAAGGAAAAAAUAUUUUUCCAAAAAAUCUAACCUAAUUUAGGUAAAAAAAUUCAAUAAUCUCCAUCUUGACACAAAUUUCGAUACAACAAACGAAACUUCAAAAAUUUUUCACUUGAAAAAAUAAAUCCAACUUCAACGAAAAUCAAACUUUCUCCAACACAAAAAUUGUCACGAUCCCAAUUUAGUCAUUUAACUUUACGUAUAAAGAUUUCAAAAUUUUAUAUACUUUGUGAAGAGAGAAAAAUGUUGGCUAUUUGUAUUGAGUAGGCAAGCAACAAUAAAUAUAAGAUAGUUGAAAUUUUUUUUAUAUACUUGGUUACAUUGCAAAAAGUGUAUUAGAGACUAAUAGAUAUACAAAAGUUGCAUUACAAAAGUUUUCACUACACAAAAAUUUCACUACACAAAAGUCGCACUACGCAUCAUAUCUUACUAUCAUAACCAACCGAUUUGUACUAAUAGUUAUACUACAUAUCAAAGAUCACCGAGACACAUUUAUUCUCCAGGAAAAUCAUUUGAAAAUAAGUACGUCAUAGUAGUAGCCUCGAAGUAGUCAAUAUAAUAAUGAAAUCCCACAAAGUGAUGGAAAUCCGAAAAGUCUGAAUACGUCAUCCAUGUGUGGACUUCUUUAACAUACAUACAAUAUCGGCUAUCUUCCGAAUUCAUUCAUUCACCCUAGGUAAAGUCAAUGUAUUCGAUGGUGAUCAUCUACAAGAAAAUAAAAUAAUGUGAAUAGAUUUAUUCAGGGAAUAAUCUAUACCAUAAUCUUUCUUUAAUUUGAAUAAGUAAGGAAAACAAUGAGCCCCAAUUAUAGAUGUUCAAUCCUACCCGCGCGCAAUAUGAAAAUAACAAUAUAUGAGCUUAUAGUUGAUUACACCACUUUGGUGUAAAAUCUAUAAUAUAAAUCAUUAUCCAAUGCAAUGCCAAUAUCCAAUGCAAUGUCAAUAUCAAUGGAUAGAAUGUUGGAUCUAUAAUUGAUUUGGAAAGCAAGAAGUAAUCCAAUAAACAUAAUUACAAUAAAUAUGUUUGAAAUAAAAGUAGGUAUAGACUACUCACCUUCAAGUUGCAAGACAAUUAAAGUGCUAUAUUUAUAAAGUUACUUGACUUUGAUUUUUGUUGUAUGCAUUUCCAUUUCUCUCCUUCUCCCCUAUUUAUAGUAAUAAUUUAGAAUUAAAUUAAUAGUUAAUUUAUUUUUCCUUAAUCAUUAUUUUGCCACCUUUUACCCUAUUAUGCCAUUUGUCAUUGUAAUAUUUAAAGUGUCAAAAUGAUAUGUGUAAGGUAGUCACCUUAUACCAUUUGUCAUUUUCAUAUUUAGAGUGGCAAUAUCAUUUAUUGAGAGUAGCCACCUCAUUUUUCUUAAUUUCUCCACAUGGUUUUUAACCAAAAUUUUAAUUCAACUAUUUUUAUAAGCUUAUAAUAUUAUUAAUAAAUUUUUUACCAUGUUACAUGAAAUAUAUAUCACAAUACAAGGUAUGGAUAUGCAUUAUAAACUUACGAAAGUUUUGGGAUGUCACAAAAAUACUCAUUCUCUUCCAUGGUAUCCAAUACAGAUACAUAAACCCAAACAUUGGGUUCUCCAAAAUUCACAAAGAAUUAGAAAUUACCAAAUAGUGCCGAAUCAGACACUGUAAUAAAAUCAACUCCCAAUACUAUCAUAGAAGACCCCUGGCUAGUCUCAACACAUUAAAAAACACUAAAAGCGUGCAACCGAAUUAGCAUCCACCUAUCUCCAGUAGGUUUAUCCCUAGCAGUAAUGAAACUACAAGCGCCGAUAAUGGUGGCAAAGCGAAAUUAUCUAUAUCCUCCAAACUUAACUGAGCUGUAUUCUUCAAUAUGGACCUCGAUGAAAAUCCUAAAGGUAUAGUACUAAACUGAAUCUCCACUAUUUCAGUAAAUCUGUGCUGACUUUUCUUCAUAAAUUUUGCCCUACCUCGCAAGAUGUAUAACCGGGAUUUCUUCUAUCCCUCCAAUAUAACAUGAACACCCUCCUGAAUCCUUAAAACUCCACCUCCUCCAGAGAACGUGUACCUUUUUGAAUUAAGAGUACUCAACGAAAUGAUAUUUUUCUUCAAGUUUGGAAUAUAUAGAACAUGAUCAAGUGUUUUACAUGUUCCAUCCACCAGCUUCAAUUCGACUCUACAAAUACUAGCUACCCGACAAAGUUCGUUGUUACCUAUGACAACGACACCUUGUGUUACCAUUUCAUAUAUUUCAAACAAAUCCUGAUUGCGAUGCAUAAAAACACACAAGCUGUAUCCAAAAUUCACUCCUCGUCAUGUUUGGAUUCAUAUAAGAAAUGGUCAAAACAUCUCCAUUAGUGAAAUAGUUAUCGGUUAUGUUGAUCUCGUCUGAAGUAUUUGAUUGCUUCCCAUGAUUUGCUACCAAAUUGCUUUUAUUUUGCAAUUUGUCGCAAUCCCUCUUUAUGUAUCAUUUCUACUUGCAAUAACAACAAACUUGACUAUUGAAAUUUGACCUUGACUUACCCCUUCUCCGAUCACAAUGAACAAUAAAGCCUUCUCCAUCUCUGGCAUCAAUUCGACCAGAUACUUCAUAUUCUCUUUUGAAAACAAGACAUCAUACGCAUCUUCAAUGAAAAGAAUAUCAUGACUAUAUAAGAUAGUAUCUCUAAAUGAAGCAUGUAGCGAAUACAAAAGGAUUAAAGCCAAAUCUUCUUCAUCAUACUUUACUUCUAACUUUUCCAAAUCAGCGAUGAUUUUCUUGAACAUAAUUACAUGAUUUUCCAAAGAUCCACCUUCUGCCAUGCGAUAAGAAUACAACAUCUGCUUUAUAUGCAAUUUGCUUGUCAAACUUUCACUCAUGUUUAAUUGUUCCAACUUUAACCACAAUGUAGUUGCCGUUUUUUCAUUCAAAAUGUCUUAAAGAAUAUUGUUAGAGAGAUGAAGAUGGAUUUGUGAAAGUGUCUUCCGAUCCUUCCGUUGUUUCUCCUUCGUCUUUCAAGUUGUUGACAUUUUCUCAAAUCUCAACAACGCAUAAUCCAAAUCCAUCUGCUCUAAUACAACUUGCAUCUUCACUUGCCACAAAGAGAAUGUUGUAUUGUGACCCAAGAGCGAAAUCUCAUACUUCAUUGUUGCUAUCAAUAAAAAAAACCUCGAACAAAUCACAAUCAAUAGCUUUGAUACCACUUGUUGAAAAAAGAGAAUGGAUUGAGGUAAUCUAUAUGAUACGAUAUGUAGUAUAUGAUCGCAAACAAAUAACAAGAUAAAGAACAAAAAAUUUAUUGACAGAGGAACGGAAUAUUUUAUUCAAUUGACGAAUAUGGAGAAAACAAAUACAAUAACUGUGCCUGCACAAUUAUUAUAUACUUCAGUAAUACAUAUGCUGACUUUUCUUCAUAAAUUUUGCCCUACCUCGCAAGAUGUAUAACCGGGAUUUCUUCUAUCCCUCCAAUAUAACAUGAACACCCUCCUGAAUCCUUAAAACUCCACCUCCUCCAGAGAACGUGUACCUUUUUGAAUUAAGAGUACUCAACGAAAUGAUAUUUUUCUUCAAGUUUGGAAUAUAUAGAACAUGAUCAAGUGUUUUACAUGUUCCAUCCACCAGCUUCAAUUCGACUCUACAAAUACUAGCUACCCGACAAAGUUCGUUGUUACCUAUGACAACGACACCUUGUGUUACCAUUUCAUAUAUUUCAAACAAAUCCUGAUUGCGAUGCAUAAAAACACACAAGCUGUAUCCAAAAUUCACUCCUCGUCAUGUUUGGAUUCAUAUAAGAAAUGGUAAAAACAUCUCCAUUAGUGAAAUAGUUAUCGGUUAUGUUGAUCUCGUCUGAAGUAUUUGAUUGCUUCCCAUGAUUUGCUACCAAAUUGCUUUUAUUUUGCAAUUUGUCGCAAUCCCUCUUUAUGUAUCAUUUCUACUUGCAAUAACAACAAACUUGACUAUUGAAAUUUGACCUUGACUUACCCCUUCUCCGAUCACAAUGAACAAUAAAGCCUUCUCCAUCUCUGGCAUCAAUUCGACCAGAUACUUCAUAUUCUCUUUUGAAAACAAGACAUCAUACGCAUCUUCAAUGAAAAGAAUAUCAUGACUAUAUAAGAUAGUAUCUCUAAAUGAAGCAUGUAGCGAAUACAAAAGGAUUAAAGCCAAAUCUUCUUCAUCAUACUUUACUUCUAACUUUUCCAAAUCAGCGAUGAUUUUCUUGAACAUAAUUACAUGAUUUUCCAAAGAUCCACCUUCUGCCAUGCGAUAAGAAUACAACAUCUGCUUUAUAUGCAAUUUGCUUGUCAAACUUUCACUCAUGUUUAAUUGUUCCAACUUUAACCACAAUGUAGUUGCCGUUUUUUCAUUCAAAAUGUCUUAAAGAAUAUUGUUAGAGAGAUGAAGAUGGAUUUGUGAAAGUGUCUUCCGAUCCUUCCGUUGUUUCUCCUUCGUCUUUCAAGUUGUUGACAUUUUCUCAAAUCUCAACAACGCAUAAUCCAAAUCCAUCUGCUCUAAUACAACUUGCAUCUUCACUUGCCACAAAGAGAAUGUUGUAUUGUGACCCAAGAGCGAAAUCUCAUACUUCAUUGUUGCUAUCAAUAAAAAAAACCUCGAACAAAUCACAAUCAAUAGCUUUGAUACCACUUGUUGAAAAAAGAGAAUGGAUUGAGGUAAUCUAUAUGAUACGAUAUGUAGUAUAUGAUCGCAAACAAAUAACAAGAUAAAGAACAAAAAAUUUAUUGACAGAGGAACGAAAUAUUUUAUUCAAUUGACGAAUAUGGAGAAAACAAAUACAAUAACUGUGCCUGCACAAUUAUUAUAUACUUCAGUAAUACAUAUCCAUCAAAAAUUGUCUAAACAUCUCCAUCAGUCAAAUAGUUAUCGAUUAUGUUGGUCUCGUCUGAAAUAUUUGAUUGCUUCACAUGAUUUGCUACCAAAUUACUUUUAUUUUGCAAUUUGUUGUAAUCCCUCUUUGUGGAUCACUUCUACUUGCAAUAACAACAAAUUCGAUUAUUGAAAUUUGACCUUGACUUACCCCUUCUCCGAUCACAAUGAACAAUAAAGCCUUCUCCAUCUCUGGCAUCAAUUCGACCAGCUACUUUAUAUUCUCUUUUGAAAACAAGACAUCAUACGCAUUUUCAAUGAAAAGAAUAUCACGACUAUAUAAGAUCGUAUCUCUAAACGAAGCAUGCAGCGAAUACAAAAGGAUUAAAGCCAAAUUUUCUUCAUCAUACUUUACUUCUAGCUUCUCGAAUUCAGCGAUGAUUUUCUUGAACAUAAUCACAUGAUUUUCCAAAUAUUCACCUUCUGCCAUACGAUAAGAAUACAACAUCUGCUUUAUAUGCAAUUUGCUUGUCAAACUUUUAGUCAUGUUUAAUUGUUCCAACUUUAACCAAAAUGUAGUUGUCGCUUUUUCAUUCAAAAUGUCAAAAUGUCUUAAAGAAUAUUGUUAGAGAGAUAAAGAUGGAUUUGUGGAAAGUGCAGUCCGAUCCUUCCGUUGUUUCUCCUUCGUCUUUCAAGUUGUUGACUUUUUCUCAAAUCUCAACAACGCAUCAUCCAAAUCCAUUUGCGCUAAUACAGCUCGCAUCUUCACUUGCCACAAAGAAAAUGUUGUAUUGUGACCCAAGAGCGAAAUCUCAUACUUCAUUGUUGCUAUCAGUAACAAAAACAUCGAAAAAAUCACAAUCAAUAGCUUUGAUAUCACUUGUUGAAAAAUAAAAUUGAUUGAGGUAAUCUAUAUGAUACGAUAUGUAGUAUAUGAUCACAAACAAAUAACAAGAUAAAAAGCAAAAAAUUUAUUGACAGAGGAAAGAAAUAUUUUAUUCAAUUGACGAAUAUGGAGAAAUCAAAUACAAUAACUGUGCAUACACAAUUAUUAUAUACUUCAGUAAUAUAAAACUUGCGAAAAGAGUUUAAUAUUUAUAGGGUUGCAUGUCAAAACCUAGAAAUACCAUAAUGAUGCAAGAUGAAAAAUCAUGUGGAAUAAAAGAAAACAAUAUUUUCCCCCAAAAAUUCCAGCCUAAUUUGGGUUUUAAAAAAAAAUCUAACAAAAAAUUGAUAAAAUUAAAUAUGUGGUUACAAAAAUUGACAAAAUUUGUGGAUACCAUUAAAUGUACGUUGAAAAUGAAUUUUAGAAAAUGGUGAUCAAACAAGAGCUAUAUCUCUAACUAGUUAAUUUAAAUAAAAGUAGAUUAUUUGGAGCUUUAGCUAUGUUACUUUUGGGUUUUUGGUAUCCAAUAAAUUUCGGACUAUGAUGUUAACGAGGGUUAAUAUUAUUUCAUAGGCAUAGAUCGAUGAAUGAAAUAAGUCAAACAACUAAGUCCAUGAGCUAUACCCGGCCCAAUUAUAUUCCCUCUUGGAUGGCUUGAAUCUUGGCUCGUUUACCUCUUUAAAGGUCCAACUUAAAAUCUAACCCUAGAGUAUAUAUAUGGAUAUAACCCUAGCCACUUUNNNNNNNNNNNNNNNNNNNNNNNNNNNNNNNNNNNNNNNNNNNNNNNNNNNNNNNNNNNNNNNNNNNNNNNNNNNNNNNNNNNNNNNNNNNNNNNNNNNNNNNNNNNNNNNNNNNNNNNNNNNNNNNNNNNNNNNNNNNNNNNNNNNNNNNNNNNNNNNNNNNNNNNNNNNNNNNNNNNNNNNNNNNNNNNNNNNNNNNNNNNNNNNNNNNNNNNNNNNNNNNNNNNNNNNNNNNNNNNNNNNNNNNNNNNNNNNNNNNNNNNNNNNNNNNNNNNNNNNNNNNNNNNNNNNNNNNNNNNNNNNNNNNNNNNNNNNNNNNNNNNNNNNNNNNNNNNNNNNNNNNNNNNNNNNNNNNNNNNNNNNNNNNNNNNNNNNNNNNNNNNNNNNNNNNNNNNNNNNNNNNNNNNNNNNNNNNNNNNNNNNNNNNNNNNNNNNNNNNNNNNNNNNNNNNNNNNNNNNNNNNNNNNNNNNNNNNNNNNNNNNNNNNNNNNNNNNNNNNNNNNNNNNNNNNNNNNNNNNNNNNNNNNNNNNNNNNNNNNNNNNNNNNNNNNNNNNNNNNNNNNNNNNNNNNNNNNNNNNNNNNNNNNNNNNNNNNNNNNNNNNNNNNNNNNNNNNNNNNNNNNNNNNNNNNNNNNNNNNNNNNNNNNNNNNNNNNNNNNNNNNNNNNNNNNNNNNNNNNNNNNNNNNNNNNNNNNNNNNNNNNNNNNNNNNNNNNNNNNNNNNNNNNNNNNNNNNNNNNNNNNNNNNNNNNNNNNNNNNNNNNNNNNNNNNNNNNNNNNNNNNNNNNNNNNNNNNNNNNNNNNNNNNNNNNNNNNNNNNNNNNNNNNNNNNNNNNNNNNNNNNNNNNNNNNNNNNNNNNNNNNNNNNNNNNNNNNNNNNNNNNNNNNNNNNNNNNNNNNNNNNNNNNNNNNNNNNNNNNNNNNNNNNNNNNNNNNNNNNNNNNNNNNNNNNNNNNNNNNNNNNNNNNNNNNNNNNNNNNNNNNNNNNNNNNNNNNNNNNNNNNNNNNNNNNNNNNNNNNNNNNNNNNNNNNNNNNNNNNNNNNNNNNNNNNNNNNNNNNNNNNNNNNNNNNNNNNNNNNNNNNNNNNNNNNNNNNNNNNNNNNNNNNNNNNNNNNNNNNNNNNNNNNNNNNNNNNNNNNNNNNNNNNNNNNNNNNNNNNNNNNNNNNNNNNNNNNNNNNNNNNNNNNNNNNNNNNNNNNNNNNNNNNNNNNNNNNNNNNNNNNNNNNNNNNNNNNNNNNNNNNNNNNNNNNNNNNNNNNNNNNNNNNNNNNNNNNNNNNNNNNNNNNNNNNNNNNNNNNNNNNNNNNNNNNNNNNNNNNNNNNNNNNNNNNNNNNNNNNNNNGGGCUCUGACUACCGUGCGUAGAGGCACGUGGAGGAGCAUCUGCCAGUGACUUCUUCAGGUAGUUUUUAGGCGACGAGGUGAACCCUAUGGUAUUGUCAGAUUUGAGUUUCGAGCAAUAGUGUGAAGUUGGACGAUUUUGUCCUUGGACGUUCAAGUGUCGUUUUGUGUUGUCGUUGUUGCUAGAAGCUUUGAGGCGGAUAAUAGUAGUCCUAAAACAGUGAAUUCACAUCUCUCGAUAUUUACGGACCUUCAGACGUGGUUCGUUUGGUAUCGUGUUCUUUACCUUUUAUUAUUGCAGUUAAAAUUAUCGUGUUGGGUAAUAAUUUACUUUUCACAUUAGAAGUCAUAUGUGGGGUUGAUAUUAGGAUUGGGGUUAUCGUGAAAGGAUAACCAUUGCCUGUUGUUAGAUUUAGAAAUUAUUUGUUAAUUAUUUGCCUUAAAUUAUUUAUGAAUUUGUUGCCAAUCUUUUCUACACUGUUGGAAUUGCAUUUGACCUUAGAAAAGUUUAUUCAACUAUUCUGUGUGAAUCAUGUCUGUACUUUUCUUGUGGUCAUUAUUUGGUGUUUAUGGCAAAUGUAAGUCUAUGGCAAGUGUGAAAGUAAAAUGUGUUUUAAUUGUAGUAAGCUUGGACAUGGUGAAAUAGAUGGUCCUAUGAAUGAUAAUAAAAGGAAAGAUAAGGAGGGAGAAAGGGUGAAUGUUGCCACUAGUCGAGUUAUGACCCCAGUGAGGUUUAUUGAGAGUAAACCUGUCACUGCAUAUGCAUCUGUGUGUGAUUAUUUUCGCAUGUGUGUGAUUGUCUAAUUGUUGCAUGAUUAUAUGUUGCAUUUCAAUUUGUUUGACAUGUGUGUUUGCAAGAAUUUGAGGUAAUGUGAUUACUUGUUGUGAUCGUUUGCAUGCAUAGAGGGUUAGGAUGCAUUAGUAGUGUUAUGUGUCUUUUGGUAAGGUGGAGUAUAGAUGCCUAGGGGUACAUGGUUGUUUGUACCGGGGAUGUGGAGUGUGACAUUUGGAUCACGAGUGGAGAUGUAAUCAAAUGUCUAGGAUCAUUUAUUUGUAAAGAGACCCUGAUCAAGUGGAGUGUAAGAGAGACACUUCUAUCACUUCUGUUAGGUGGAGACCCAGUAUCCACGUAGGUUGGGAGAAGUGAUGUGGAGAUAGAGGAUUAUUCCGUAGACCUAGGAUCUACUGUGACUUACCAGUUAGACAUGAGUUGGAUGAUCAGUCUAGUGAACAUGUUGGGCAAUGAGAGAAGAUAUGUGUUCUCGAGGUGUGAGCAAUGCGGAAUGAGAUAGGAUAAGUGUGGUGAUAUCAUUUUGUAGGGUCAUUUAUGCAUAUGUUGUUGACCGUGGUUUUAUUGACUUGGUGUUAAUCUAUGGUUCUAUGUGAACAUGUUUUUGAAAAGAUCUAUGUAUGUUAUCCUAUAGUAUAUCAUCAUCGCACGUGUAUUUGCUCUUGAUUGUUUACUGUUAAAUAUUUGCUUCUACUUGGGUGUUUUUUGGACCUUAGCCCCGAUGAGUACAUGGAGCAGGUAUGGUAUGUGUUUCAGGUUGGAAACACGAGUUAAGGUCUGUGAUCCAAUUUUAUUGGCUACCUUGAUUAUGCAAGUGCUAAUUGUGUGUUUUGAUUGCUUGCAGAUUUAUUGUGUAUCAAGGUGGAGAUUUGUUGGAUUUUUGAUAUCCAAUAAAUCCCGGGCUAUGAUAUUAACGUGGGUUAAUAUUAUUUUAUAGGUAUAGGUCGAUGAAUGAAAUAAGUCCAACGACUAAGUUCAUGAGCUAUACCCGGCCCAAUUAUAUUUUCUCUUGGAUGACUUGAAUAUUGGUCCGUUUACCUCUUUAAGGUCCAACUUAAAGCCUAUCUCUAGAGUAUAUAUAUGGAUAUAACCCUAGUCAUUUUCUUAUGAUGUUUUGUGUGGUUUGUGAGAAGAAAAAGGAAAUCAUGGCUGCCCUCUUUGUGUGUGAAAAAAGGCACAUAAAAGUGUCCAAAACGCUUGUUUAACAUGUGCAAUUGGUGGUUCAUUCAUAGUAUACCUUUAUGGUGUCUUCUCUUAGCCUUUGUGAUUACAAAUCAUCUUUUCUUGUCCUACGUGGAUAAGAUUGAAUAGUAACCGAGGUGAAUUAAUUAGUUGUGGUUUGGAGCCGAUUUGAUUGGUUGUUGGUUGAGAAAGGUACGUUGGAUUGAACCCGAAAAUUAUCGAUUUGAAGAUCUUUCAAGAGAGCUUUCACAACAGUUACAUUAACAUUGCAUAUAAAUAAGACAUGCAAGGCAUUUCAUGUACAACAUGGAAAAUAUAGCCAUGGGGAAAUAUGUUUUAUUUAAUUGUCAUGAAAUGCUCCGUUUUUUUUUUUUUUUUUGGCAUAAGCCGUCUUAGAAAAUGAAUUGAUAGAUAAGGUUCUUGAUUUUAGAUGAUUUUGACUUAAUUUCACCUAUGAUAUUCUCGAAUUCGCUCUCCGCAUUUUUACCCUUGGUCUUUCCUCUCUCCCAAAAAUUGAUCAUAGUUUGUAAUGAAAAUCUAUUCAUCAUUUUUUAUUCGUUCUGUAUGCCAAAAAGAAUAUCAUUAGACAAUAUAUAAAAAAGUAAAUUCAUCAUUUUUGAUAUGUUUUGUAUGCCAAAAAGAAUAUUAUUAGUUAAUAUUUUAAAAAAAUAAAAAAUAAAAUAUAGUUCAUUUUUCGACGUUCAAAUAUUAAUAUUAUGUACUGGACAUGCAACGAGGACACAUUUAUAAUUAAGAUAAUAGUUAAUAUGCUUGUAUACAUAUUAAUACAUAACGGUGAGAAGCGCGAUAACUAUAAAAUAAUCUGAAAAUUUCUUAGAAAAAUCAAAAGAUAUAGAAGAGAUAUAGACUCGGAGAGGAUACUUGUUAGAAAAAAAUAGUCCUUCUUUGAUUUUUAUUUAUAUAAACUCAACAUCGUUUAAUGUCUAAUUGACGAACAUUUUGCUCGUAGUUGCCUAACAAAUCCCAAACAAAUUACCACGUUAGUUCAGUUCUACUCGAGCAAUUAUCUGAUUGUUUAUCUUCAUCAAAUUAAGAAGGUUCACAUGUUAUAUUGAGACUUAUGGCUCCGUUUGAUUCCCAUUUUUCUCAAAAUGCAUUUUUUUCUCUUUUCUUUUCAAUCAUACAUUCCUCAUUAAAAUAAUAUUACAUGUAAAUAAAAAACUUUUUAUUCACAUAUUCUCCAUCAAUCUACUAUUCUAAAAUUCAUUUAUUUAAAAAUGGGUAUCAAACACCCUCAUAAUUUUUUCACUUAUCAUGAGCCAUUGCUUAGUGUGACAUGAUAAAGUCAAGAUUCUGUUUGCGUGGAACUUGCAAGUGUAUGUGAUCAUUGACAAGUAAUAAUAAAAUAAAUUAUGAGUUAUUGUUCCACAAGGAAUAAUGUUUAAUUUCAGUUCACUAGUUAUUACUAAAUUUGAUGUUCGUGACACAAAAUGCGUGAUUUUGUUAUUAUUCAAACUAAGGAAGCAAUAAAAAAUAUUUUGUCAUAUGUGAAUGAUUGUAUUGGAUUUUGAAUCCCUUAUUAUCAUUUAUUUUAAUUCUUGAUUUGUAAUAUAAUCAAUUUUAUGCUUUCGUGACAAUCGAUAAUAUUAGUUUAUUUAAUUCUCUUUUCCAAAACGAAUUAAGUCUAUUCUAAUUAUGAUCCGAUCCUAUUUCUAGACUGAAAUCAUAUGACCAAAAUACAUUAAAUUAUAGGUUAUUUAUGUGAUUGCAUAUGUGAUAAAGAUUAUUCUUAAUCUAUCUACAUGUGUUAAUUUUGCCACGUUCUAAACUUAUUGUGAGUCUCCCAACACUAUACCAAAUAACUAAUUAUUCAAUUAGUAGUCAAUCAAUUAAAUAAUACAAUGGGUAAGCAAAAUCAAUCAAGAAAAUCAAGAAAUAACUAAAUUAAUAAUUUUAAAUCAAAACAAAUAUGUAAUAGGUUUCAUCAUUCAUCCAUACAAUAGAAAAACUAGCAUUGCAUUCUAAUGAUUCAAUUAUACAAGAAAUUUGGAAAAACAUCACUCGAAAAGAAGAAAUAAUAAAAAAAAGUGGAGAAAUCCAAUUUCUUGGCUUGAAUCUUGAAAAUGGAUGAAUAUUCUUCAAUAAACUUGUAUAAUCUGCCUUAAUAUUGAUGCUUAACAUUGUUCUUCGCGAUCCAAAAUACAUAGAAUAUAGAGAUUUGUUACGUUGAAAGGAGGUUUUCCACGUUCUAGACAUGUUUAGGUAAACAUAAGAUAUUGUUUCCAUUUAAAAUUUUAUCGAAAUAUGAAAAUUGGCCCUCACAUAAAAUUUGGCCCCCUGCACGCCAUUUAGUUCAUUGCGCACACACCGUUCAAUGAUUUUGCUCUUGGUGAAUGCAUAUCAUGGACUCGCACACGAAAAAAUGUCUGUGCACGGGCGUCGUUUCACGAUGUCGUCAUUGGAUAGCUUUCGGUAAUUUGAGAUAACUUUCUCUUUUGAACUCCAAUUGAGGUAAUUUCAAGUGCGUUGGAAAGCUAACUCAAAAAGUUACAAUUUUUCGGAAUAAAAAAUUUUCGAUUCGAACAUUUGCUAUCCAAAAAAUGGGUCUCAAAUUGAGGUUAAAAGUUCGGAGUAUAACUUCUUUUGCUAACAAUUGAUUUGUGCAAAUACUUAGACUCUAUUUAACUACUUUGACCUCCACUUGCACCCAAUUGAUGUCAUAUGAUCUUCAACCAUCAUUUUGUGGUCCGAAUCAACUAUUGAAUAUUUGCAUUUUGGCCCUCAAACUUUGAAAUUUCUUCGUUUCACAUGUUUUUAGUAUCUUUCUUCCAAGUCUACCAAUUGACAUUGAGUUCAACCUAUCUUGCACGUUCACAAAAUCGACGAUUCCCAAACAAAUUAUCAUAUUAGUUCAGUUCUACAAGAGCAAUUAUCAAGCUACAUAUCUUCAUCAAAUUAAGAAGGUUCACAUGUUGCCCCCAGGGCACAUCUCCAAGUGGUAAAAGGGGAGGGUGGAGAAAUCCAACUUUGCUUGAGGCUGCUGCGUCAAGGGUUCGAAUCCUGAAAUAUGGAUUGGGCUCUUGAGUAAGUGCAAGUGUACAAGCAGCCUUCCACCCUAUACCCUUGGAGGCAUAACCUGCGGUUUACCUCCCUCACGAUACUUCAGAGCAGGGACGGUGGUGAACGUUUAAGGUUGGGGUUCAACCUUUUUUUAAGAAGGUUCGCAUGUUAUAUUGGGGCCUAACUUUUUUGACUUGUACUCUUGAGAGAGAGAGAGAGAGAGAGAGAGAGAGAGAGAGAACCGGGGGCGGGGGCCGGGGGUUGCGGUAAUGAGAAUUAUGAGGAGUGGAAGGACCCCGCAGGAAGGCACGGGAGAUUCAGAAGUGCUCUGAAAAGCUGAAAUUUAGUGACUUCUUUUCCUUUUUAAAAUGCCAUUUGGCUCAUAAUUAGACCCUACCCACUUUUUUCUUCCACAAAAGGACAACGGUAAACGUGCUUUAGGUAAUCAUAUUUUCUAUUUCUAUUUUCCUCAAUUAUUAAAUGCGACUUUGGCAAUCCAAUUUUAAUUAUUUAUCAACUAUGUAUACUAGAUUACGAUUCAUUAAUUAUGAAUUCAAAUUGGAAUAUUUAGAUUCAUGAUUGGAAAGUUAUGACAACUUUAAUUACGAGUAAAACAACUAAGUACAUGCUUUUUAUCAUGUUCAAACGCGUUUUUUGAGAAUUGUAAAAUGCAAAGUUUUUAUUUAUUUUUAUGAAGUACAAAAAAUGUUGAUUAUUUUUAUUUUAGAACUUUCGUUCUGAGACAAAAAAUUUCUUUUAGAUUUUUUAUGAAGCAAAUGAAUUUAAUUAAUAAUUUUCAUUUAAAUAAGUUCUAAACAAUUUAAUGUCUUAGGAUUUAUUUUCUUUUAAUGCAAAUUUCAUACUCACAAUCAAAUACGCACUUAGUUAUUAAUUUUCAUACAAAUAAGUACUACGCAAUUGAGUUGCCUAUAAUUUAUUUUCUUUUUAUGCAAAUUUCAUGCUCUCAAUCAAACAUACCCUUGGCGUCUUGAAAACCACUUUGUUUGUGUUGACAAUACUUGAAAUGUUUUGAAGAGCACUUCGUGAAAAAGUUAUAUGGCGGAGUGAAGAGUUUCUUGUUCUAAUUUAAGUAAAGUAUAUUAAUUUUGAUUAACCAUUUUGACUCAAUCUAAUCGACCUCCAUCGAGAAAUUUAGACCAGAUUUUAGUAAAUUUUGAUAAGUAUAGAUGAAAUUUAUAGUUGAAAACUCGUGAAUUCCAUAAAAUUAAUUAUUGAUUUUGAUUUGAAAUUUUAAUUUAGACCAAACAGGGACUUAAUAAGAUUUUAACAUGUCUAAUAAUUUAAAUUUUUAGGUAAAGUAAAAUCAACAUGAUCAAUAUACCAAAAAUUCGUCAAGUCGAAGUUGAUAACAAGUAGGCUUGAGCGCGGUUUGGUUUAGAUCGAUUUCGACUCCAACCCGAAACCAAAAUCAAAUUAAUCGAUUUUGGUGAAUUUCAAUCCAAAACAAUCCAUUCUAACUCUUAAAUCAAACCGAUCCAAACCAAAUCGAUUUGGUUUAGUAUGGUUUGGACUUUUAAUCAAAAUUGAAUUUUAAAAAAAAUGUCCGAGUUUUGGACCCACUCAAAUUACCAAAACUAAAAUAAUCAAAUAACUUUAUAUUACAAGAGCUAUUGACUAACAAAGAAAAUCAGGUUAACAAAGAUGGAUCAACUAAAAACUUAAGAAUUUUGUUGCUUUUUUUUUUUUUUAUAUUAUGUAGAAUGACUGUUUAAGUAGGAAAAAAAGUUUAGUAUAAUAUAAUGAGCUUGUGAAAUGAAAUUUUUAGUGUUAUUGCCUAAAGGCAAUAUUAUCAAUUGGAGAAAAUCGAAAUAUAGUUGUGAGAUUAGGACUUAUGUUUUGAAUUUUAUUUUUCUUAAAAAAAUGGAGACGUGUUAAUGGGUUGAGUUGGUUUGAUUAAUUAGUGGUUUGAGAUUUUAAAUUAUGAUUGAAUCGACCCACCAUAAUUUUGUUUAAAAGAAAAUCAAAACAAAUCAAUUGUCUGUGUCAAAUCGACCCGAGUUGAUUCGAUUGGUGUGAUUGAUAUUUUGAUUUUUUUGUCUAGGCCUAAUAUCAAGAGUUCAAAGUCUAAUUAGUUAAGAUAUAGCCCCCGUUUGGCCCCCAUUCUUAGCUAAUUUUAAUGGAUGAAAUAAUAUUUUUUUUGAAAAAUGUGUGGUUGAAAAAGAAUAAAUUUUUUUUUUAUUUGUGUGUAAUAUUAUUUUAUAAAAAAUGUGUGGUUAAAAAUAAGAGAGAGAAAAAGAAUGAGAUGGCGGCAUAAACAUCAAUGAAUAGUAAAAUAAUUAAAAGAGAAAUGAAAUAAAAAUAAUAAUUAUUUAUCAAUCAAUGACAAAGAUGUAAUCUUAUCUUAAUUGAUUCCCUAAUCCCCACCAUUACCCAUUAUAAAAAUCCCGCAUCCUUCCUCCACCGUUACCUCUUAACCAGACCACCAACCAGUUGAUACAUACAGCCCAUGUAUCUCUCUCUCCCUGCAAAAACUGCACAAAGCCAAAAGUUAUUUGGGCUAUUUUUUUAUUUUAUUUUAUUUUUCUUUCCCGCCUUAUCAAGGCAAAUUCUUGAAGAAAUGCUUGAAACUGUGAAAUACUUGAUUGGUGCCGCCGGCCCAAGUGGUUCCGGCUCCAAGUCAACCGCUGAGCAAGUCACCAGCCACAGCCUCCAUUACUGCAAUUAUUGUUGAAAAAUUACAUCGAUAAUUGUGCAUAUUAUAUUCACAAUAAACAUAUCGUUUAUUUGCAUGAAAUCGAAGUGUAUUCCAACUUACUGAAAUUGGAUUUAAAAAGAUAAAAUAAGAAUUUAUCGAAUCCGAAUACCUGAAUAUGGAUUCUUCCCUUUCAACUCAUGAUCGAAAGCAAGUAAUUUUUUAGAUCAAACCUUGCAGGAUAAACAUAUAAAUAACGUUAAUCAUUUUUUAAAAUCAAAUCAUAAUAAAAGGAAUCGGAAAAUGAAGAAAGAAUAUGCAAAUGACGGAUUUUUGACCGAGGCAAGUGUUGGACACUUUGUCCUUGAGAUGAAUUUGUCCCGGCUAACGAUUAUCCGACAAUCAUCUCCCAAGAUACAAUGACUACAUCGAGUCAUAGGAGCACUCCAAAUGAUUUCGACCAGCGAACUUGAACGGAAUUCCCUCCCUACCAUGACCAUGAUUUUGAUGCAAAAUGUUUUAUGCAAAACCAAAUUGUAAAUUAAAAUGGAAUGAUACGAUAUCUAUGACUUUUCUUGAAUUUUUUGAUUGAUAAAAUUCAAACAUAUGGGGUCUAUAUUUAGUAGUUGGAAAGGUAUGUCAAAAGACAUAAUUAUACCAAGAGUCACAUCUCUUUAAAUUUAUUUCUAUACAUGAAGAGAGACAAUUAUUGGAAAUUAAUCAUACCCAUACUAAGAGUCAUGAUCUUUCACAUGAAAAGACACACUUUUCAUCACAUAUUUCUAGAAUAUUCCACAACAUUUUAUACAAUUUUUCAAUAAUUUCAAGUAUUAAACGACUUUAUAUUUGACUUAAUUCUCAUUCAACAAAUUAAGAAUUUCACUUAAAUAAUUAUGUAAACCAAUUUUACAUCAAAAUUCCAACAAUUAUUACAGGUAAAACAAAUUGGUUAUUAUUUUUGUAUUUAAGGAGCGUGAAAAAAAAAAGAUGAAAUAAAAAACUACUUAAGUAAUUUUUGUGAUACAGGAGCCACAUCUGGGAUCGGUGCUGAGACAGCUAGGGUUCUUGCUAAGAGAGGAGCGCGGCUUGUGUUGCCGGCUCGGAACAUGAAAGCCGCGGAGGAUACUAAGGCAAACGGUUAUAGGAAUUUUUUCUCAAUUGACGGCCUUUGUCUUUCUAAUAGGGUGUUCAGUGUGAAUGUGAUGUUUACGUGGAGGGGACGACGUCAAUAUUCUGUUGGCGCACUUUUUUGGAUCAGCAGAAAUUAUAAUUUUUAAACUAUACCAAAUAUGCACUAAGGUGAACCAAAAUGGGAUGACACCAUACGAAAAUUUAGAAACAUUGUGCAUAUAGUGUAGUCAUAUCAUAGUACCCUCCCACUAUACUGACUGGGGUUUGAUUUCCUCGAUGGACAAUACAUUCUCAAAUAUUUUACUUUCUUAUAUCAUACACUUUACAUCCUUACAAAAUUUUCAUAUAUUCUUUUCCCUCACAUUAUAAUUUUCAAAUAUUUCUAUAUGUCCCUUUUUACCUUUGAUAUAUCAAUAAAUUUUUUAUUUUUCAUUUCUUCAAUAGUUGGCCAACAUAUGAAGUGUAGGGAUAAUAAAAUUCUCUGUUAUCGACCCACCCCAAAAUCAUCCUAUCCCAAAUUGAGCUAGGAAACUCCUUAAUAGUAAACGAGGUGGGUAUAGAGAAACAUAGUCUCUGUCUCGAAUGUUUUGAACUCGUCUUGAAUUAUUUUUUUAUUGUAAUUAUAAUAUUUUCAAUUAAAAUUGUACUAAAAAAAUAUACUAAAAUUAAUUAAUUAAUCUUAGAGUAGUUUAUAUAUAUAUAUAUAUAUAGAUGUGUUUAAUAUAUAAAAGGUUAAUUGUUCGAGGUACUCACUGUCACAAGUUUUUGAAGUCGAGCAUUCUUUUAUUCUAUUAUAGAUAUAAAAAUAAUGAUCAAAUUCAAUCAUCAAUUAUUCCUAUAAGAACUCAGUUUUAUUAUCAAUUCUGAGCCCCUAUUCAACAACCAUACUUUUAAAACUCUUUUUUUCACAUACUUAUUUUUAACCACACAUUUAUACAAUAUAAAAUAUUCUGCACGUCAAUUCAAAUUUUUUUUAUAUUUUUUAACCAUAUAUUCUCUUAAAAAACACUAUAAAAAACAUUUUUUUUGGGAAAUAAUGAUCACCAAAGAGGGCUGAAUACAGAAGAUGGAGUUAUGUGAUUUUCAAAUAGUUCUCGUGUCUUCGUGCCAAAAAUAAUUAUUCAUUAUAUUUGCACUUUCGUGAAGUUUGGAAAACAAAUUUCGAAUAAUCUUAUAUUGAAUAUUAAUUUUAUUAAACAUGUUUUAUGUUUGUUGAAAAUAAAAAAUACGUACAAAUCUAGUAUUUCUUUCGCGACUUAAGUUUUUAAAUUAAAAAUGAUUUUAUCUCAUUCCUAAUUAUUAAAGUUCUAUGUAACAAGAUUCGUUAAAUAUAUUAAUUGUUUAUCGCUCUGAUUAGCCUUAUUAACAAAGGGUUCGUCGAUUGACAAUAGAGCUUGUAUGGAGGUAUAGGAACAUUGAGCUUGUCCAGGCUUUUCCUUAUGUUUUAUAUUGCCGUUUAUUUUUUAAAAUUAUAUGUGUUAUUUCCAUUCAUUUAUUUUCUAAAUGACAUCUAUGUAACGACACUAAAGGAUGACAAAAUUAUUUGUAGCAUUCUUUUCUAAGUUUACUUGUGUAGCACCUCUUAGGUUGCUUUUAAACGUCAAAUUUUAAUGUUAUUUUAAAAUUGAUUUGUUACAUCUGGGGUGCUAAUUAGCAGCAGGGUCAUGAUCCGAAUUCANNNNNNNNNNNNNNNNNNNNNNNNNNNNNNNNNNNNNNNNNNNNNNNNNNNNNNNNNNNNNNNNNNNNNNNNNNNNNNNNNNNNNNNNNNNNNNNNNNNNNNNNNNNNNUUCUAACUUAAUCAUAAAAAAUUUUCGAACACAAAAUGAAAUUACAAUAAAAAUAAAAGGUAAAAAUAUUCAAAAAGCCAUGUGAUUUUGAGAUGUGCUAUAAAUACACCAUUUUUGAAAGCUUCCUUGAUAGCCCUCUCACAUGUAGAAGUGAAGCUCGUGAUUAAAAUAAUCACGAACCCUACAUUUUGUGAAAGGGUUGAAAUGUGUACAGCACUUGUGCUGUACAUAUAUCAUUUUCCUGUGAUCUCUCUCCUGCCCUGUACAAAAAAAAUUUAGGGGGAAGGGGGAUUGGUCCCACCUCCUUCAUCGCCAAUGCUAGUCACAAUUUACAGAGGUUUAAGAUUAAAUUUACAAUUUGAAAAAGAAUAAAUAACGUGAGAAAUUAUUGGAGUUUGAUUGAAAACAAAUCGAGUUAGUGGACUGGAAUUGGAAUAUUUUUAUUUUUAUUCCCAAAAAUCGACAAAAAGGAAUGGGAAAAAUAACGGAACUUGGCUGCAGUCGUCCCUAAAGAAGAAUAGUCAAAAGAUGCGAUUUAUUGAAGUUCUAUUCGUAGAUUAACAAACUUUAAUAUUGUAGGGGUCCUUCAAAAUCAAUAUUUAAAAGUUAGCUUGACUCACCUAAUAAAGGUAGAAGCCAUUAUGUCGAAAGCCGAACAUAAUGAUUCUUUUACUUAAAACAACUUUGAAUCAAAUCCAAUAACACUAAACAAGAAUUGGAAUCACUUUACUUAGGGCAUCGAAUAUCGGAGACUCACGUCCAAUUGAAUAGAUCGUGCUUAAAGUCAGUUGUACUCAUUCUUAAAUUACUUAAUGAAGUGGCCUUUUGUUUUACUAAUAUAUAAAAGUCAUUAAUUUUUUUACCCCUAUAUAUAUCAUAAUAUUUUAGAUGGUAUAUUCAAUUGAGAUUUUUGAAUACUUUUAUUUAAGUGAUGAACUUUUGUAAACUCCGUGAACUUUUAUAGAGUUUCAUAUAAUUUAUACGACUUUUAAAAACUUUCACCUAAAAUAGAAUUUACUUGAAUAUGCACGACAAUGAGAUGUUUACACAUAGGACGUGGAGGCUUGAUCCCCAUCCUGCUCCCUCAUGUAAUAAUUUUUUUUAAAAGAAUAAAAUAUUAAGUCACCUUAAUUAGAUAAAUAAAUAAUCAAAAUAUAUAAUAUUUCAAUAUUUUCAAUAAAAUAAAUAAAUAAUUCUAAUGUUCAUAUUAUCAAUAUGUCAAACCUUUAAAAAAUAUGCAACCAAUCAAUAUAUUAAAUUUUAUUUACAAAUUAAUCCUUAUUUUUAUAUAAAAUCUUAUAGAAUUUAAUUACUAAUUGAUCUUUCCGAUGAAAAACUGGAUGAAAAAAAUGGAUAAAAAGAAUGUUAUAAGAAUAAUUUAAUUUUUUCGUAGGAAAUGAAGAGAAACAAUAAAAGAGAAGAAAAAAAAAAAAAGAACAAAUAAUAAUUUUUUAAUCUUGAAUCUCAGAUUCAUAGAAUGGUAGGGGAAAGAAAAUAUUGAAAUGACAAAAGUACGCAUUAAAAGAUUAUUUUUUUUUUGGGUGAAAAUCUUCUUGAAUCAUGGGGUGAAUAAGAAAAAAAUUUUAAUUUUUUUAAUACUUUCUGCUUAAAAGUUAUAAUACCUUAAAGAUUUUAUAAAAGUUUAAAAGUCAUUAAUAUUUAGAGAUUUGUAAAAAGUUUUAAUUGAAUACAAUGAUUUUUAAAAGUCUAUAUCGAACACACAAACAUUUUAAAGAAAAAAUGCUUCUCGUACAUAUUUUUUUAAUAGAUAGGGUUGCAGGUGCUGAACUGACAAGAUUUCAAUGGCCAGUCUAACCCUUUUUUUGUUCAAAAUGGUGUGAAAUCUUAUCAACUCGACAUCCUGUAAUACCAUAUGUUAAAACAGUCUGUACGAGUAAAUUUUCUUCGAACAAAAUAGGGUAUUUUAUGUGGAGAGAGGUUAAGAGCAUCUUCUGAAAUGUUCUUUAAUUUAAAGAGUAAAUUAUUAAAACUAUGUUUAGUUUUUUCACAAGUAUCAAAAAAAAUUUGGCAGAAUUCUUAUAGAAAAACAUUUGGCAAAUUUUCAUUGAUUUUUGACACAAUAAGUACAAAAAAUGUAUUAUGUAAGUGCUGUCAACACAGUACCUGUAUUAUUUUUGUCAAUAAUUUCCUAUACUUGUGAAUUUACUCAAUUAUGUUUCAAGAAAUUCUUUAAACAAAGAUUUUACACCAUCUUCAAUACAAAAAUAAAGUUAAAUCAGCGAAUAAAAUUUUGCUUGGUCAGUACUUGUGACCCUGUCCGUUAAAAAAAUCUUACAGUUUGCAUUUUGGGAAAAUUGCAACAGCAACUUUCCCUUUUUUUUUUUUUUUUUUUUUUUUUAUAGAUUUUACCCUAAAUUUUAUUUUGUAUUAGCAAAUGCCCUAACAUUUCAUAAAUAUACACAUGAGAUCUAUCUGGAAAGAAACCAUCCAAAAUAUCGUUAGUUAAUUAGGAAAAAUCUUUGAACUAUCUGCUACCGCGACGUUUUUAUUGAAUGUCGAUACCUUUUUGAACAGUGUUUUGGACAAUUUUAUUAUAUAUUGAUUCCUUGAUUUUUUCGGUCAUUUGACGGUGUUUUGGACAGCUUCCGUCCAGAUGGAUUUCAAGUGCAUAUUUAUGAAAGGUUAAAAACAUCUAUUGGUACAAAAUGAAGGUUAAGGUAAAAUUUGUAAAAAAUGAAAAGAUUAGGGAAUGCUGUUACAAUUUUCCUAGCAUUUUUCUGUUGUCGGAACCUUUACCAAACAAAAAGCAUUCAUUCAAACGCCAGCCUGGAUUUCAUCUUCACACGCAUAUACACACAGUUCAACCGUUGACAAUGUCAAAAAUAUUCGUUCAGUUAUGGCCGAACAUUCAUUUUUGCCGAUUAUAAUAGCAUAUUACUCCUUAUUUUGCUGUUCAUCCUUUGAAUCGGGAUCAACCAUCAUGAGUAAUAAUGUUGUAGAAGCACAUAGUUCAGUCCCGUGUAACUCGACAGACAGAGGACCAGUGGUACCCACAACCCCAUUAGUCAGUUUUCUUGAAACUCUUCAAGAAACGGCACUCCAAGCUUAUGGGCACAAAGGAUUCGACCCGAAACUUUACGUGGAUUUGUCACUGAAACAAAAUCUUUCGACUACUAUUGUAGCUUUUGAGAAGCUUCCAAGAACUGAAAAUGGUUCGGUUUCGGGUCACGAUUUAAACGGUUUUAUUGAGAAGUAUUUGAAUGGGGUUGGGAAGGAUUUGGUCUAUGCUGAACCAGUGGAUUUUGUGGCUGAGCCUAAAGGGUUCUUACCUAAAGUGAAGAAUCCUGAGGUAAGGGCUUGGGCAUUGGAGGUCCAUUCACUUUGGAAGAAUUUAAGUAGGAAAGUUUCGGGCGGGGUUAAGGAGAGACCCGAUUUUCAUACAUUGCUGCCUUUGAAGUACCCAGUUAUGAUUCCCGGGUCGCGAUUCAGGGAGGUUUAUUACUGGGAUUCUUAUUGGGUAAUAAGGUUGGUUUUCUAUCUUACGCUUUCUUGUGUUAUUUUGGUAAGUUGUUUCUUGUUCUUGUUUUGGUGAGGAAGAAUAGGUGGGAUUACGGAGCCGGGAAUUAAUGUUACGGGCGCAAAACUUUAGAAAUUUAAUGUACGAAUAAAAUUCAUAAAUAACAAAAAAAAAAUCAUAAUAUAAUAUUAUCAGUUACAGUUGUACCUGACAAUGCUUUAUAGCAUAAAAUUCAUCAAUAAUAGAAUCUAAAUCUAAAUUCAAAGAAAAUUCUCGUUCAAUGUAAAGUGUCAUACAAUCAGCAAGAAAACUAUCAUCCAUUUUGUUACGAAUUUCCGUCUUCACAUGUUUCAUUGCAGAAAAUGGUCGCUCUACGGUAGCUGUUGAAACAGGCAGUGUCAAUACUAGACGAACCAAUUUAGUCAAAUUGACGUAACUCUCCGAUCUUCUACUUGCAACCAAUUCUUGACAUAAAUUAGAAAGUGUAGAUACUUGAAAUCGAGGCUCAGAAAUCACAUCAUGCUGAUAAUGUUGCAACUCAACUUUCAAAUUAUAAAUAUCUUGCUGUGUAAAAUCUUGAGGAUAAAAUUUCUUUGCAAGCUUGCAAAUAUUAUCCAUGUUAAAUUAUUCAAAAGAAUUUUUCGGAUCCAAUGCCACACCGAGAGAAAGGAGUUCUAAUGAUGUCUCAUUAAAUCUUAUAUCUAACUCCAUCAUCAGAAAAUCAAUGGCUGCAUUGAAAAUAUCAAAGUGAUAGUGAUGUUCAACGGUAGGAUACUCACGACCACGAGAACGACCAACCAUUUCCAUGGAAAAUAAAUGUAAUCAAACACACCCAUUUUGGGAAAAUUGCAGCAGCAUCUUUCCUUUUUUUUGUAGAUUUUACCCUAAAUUUUAUUUUGUAUUAGCAAAUGCCCUAACAUUUCAUAAAUAUACACAUGAGAUCUAUCUGAAAAGAAACCAUCCAAAAUAUCGUCAGUUAAUUAGGAAAAAUCUUUGAACUAUUUGCUUCCGUGACGUUUUUAUUGAAUGUCGAUACCUUUUUGAACAGUAUUUUGGACAGUUUUAUUAUAUAUUGAUUCCUUAAUUUUUUCGAUCAUUUGACGGUGUUUUGGAUAGUUUCCGUCCAGAUGGAUUUCAAGUGCAUAUUUAUGAAAGGUUAAAAACAUCCAUUGGUAUAAAAUGAAGAUUAAGGUAAAAUUUGUAAAAAAUGAAAAGAUUAGGGAAUGCUGUUACAAUUUUCCUAGCAUUUUUCUGUUGUCGGAACCUUUACCAAACAAAAAGCAUUCAUUCAAACGCCAGCCUGGAUUUCAUCUUCACACGCAUAUACACACAGUUCAACCGUUGACAAUGUCAAAAAUAUUCGUUCAGUUAUGGCCGAACAUUCAUUUUUGCCGAUUAUAAUAGCAUAUUACUCCUUAUUUUGCUGUUCAUCCUUUGAAUCGGGAUCAACCAUCAUGAGUAAUAAUGUUGUAGAAGCACAUAGUUCAGUCCCGUGUAACUCGACAGACAGAGGACCAGUGGUACCCACAACCCCAUUAGUCAGUUUUCUUGAAACUCUUCAAGAAACGGCACUCCAAGCUUAUGGGCACAAAGGAUUCGACCCGAAACUUUACGUGGAUUUGUCACUGAAACAAAAUCUUUCGACUACUAUUGUAGCUUUUGAGAAGCUUCCAAGAACUGAAAAUGGUUCGGUUUCGGGUCACGAUUUAAACGGUUUUAUUGAGAAGUAUUUGAAUGGGGUUGGGAAGGAUUUGGUCUAUGCUGAACCAGUGGAUUUUGUGGCUGAGCCUAAAGGGUUCUUACCUAAAGUGAAGAAUCCUGAGGUAAGGGCUUGGGCAUUGGAGGUCCAUUCACUUUGGAAGAAUUUAAGUAGGAAAGUUUCGGGCGGGGUUAAGGAGAGACCCGAUUUUCAUACAUUGCUGCCUUUGAAGUACCCGGUUAUGAUUCCCGGGUCGCGAUUCAGGGAGGUUUAUUACUGGGAUUCUUAUUGGGUAAUAAGGUUGGUUUUCUAUCUUACGCUUUCUUGUGUUAUUUUGGUAAGUUGUUUCUUGUUCUUGUUUUGGCGAGGAAGAAUAGGUGGGAACAUAAGGGGGAUAGAGUAGACAUUGUGAAACCAGAUCUCUAGAAUUUAAUAUAUGUAACUAUGAAAGAAUUAAAUUUACUUAUUUUGGCUCAUUGAUGAACUUGGUGGACAGUUGUUGAUCUUCCUAAUGAACAUACGGAGUGGCGUAGCAUAAAAGCUACAUGUAGUCGACUCUAAGUUUAUUGAGAAACAGACUUAGUUUCUUCUAUUUGUUAAUGAAUAGAGUUGGUUGAUAAUGAGGUUGAAUAAGUUCUAUUGCGACGACCAUUUUUGGUUUAAAUGAACCUAAAAUGCUAAUUUAGGUUCAAAUAAACUAAAAUGUGGAAGUUUUUAUCGAGAAAUCAAAGCAUUGUUCCCCCUCCCCUCACAUAUUAUCCUCUUAUAUUGACUAAACAAAGCUUAUUCUUUUACCUGAUUGAUAUAGGAGCUAAAAGUCUCAUUUCAUCACAAUCCUACAUGAGUCGGAAAGGACCAUUUAAGUCGAAUCUUGAUGCGUCAAAUUUGGUCAACUAAAAAUUGAAAUCACAAGACCAUAUAUGUGAGAAUAGUUCGACCAAUUAGUAAAAUUCCUAUUGUAUGUUACAUCUGAUUUACUUUAUUCUUUUUUAGUUCUCGUUUUUCUCUAUUUCCUCUGUCGAAUUCGAUUUAAGGAUGAUAAUUUUUUUAUGCAGGGGCUUGUUAGCAAGUAAAAUGUAUGAAACUGCAAAAGGGAUUGUAUAUAAUCUUUUAUCUCUUAUAGAUGAAUUUGGCUAUGUUCUCAAUGGUGCAAGGGCAUAUUACACAAACAGGAGGUGAAUGCUUUUUGAUAUUUCUAAGUUAAAUCUCUAGCUAUUAAUGUGUGCCUUACCUAUAAGCUAGUCUAGUUUAUAACCUUAGAUGCAUAUUUAAGCUGCCCAGAAGAGUGAAAAGUGAAGAAAAGUAUGUUGAAAAUCUCUUUCACUGUAUUGUUGUACAUAACAGCAUAACCUUAUGUGUUAUUGAGCUUCUAAUUCUUCUGUUUUUCUUGUUCCAGUUAACUUACCUCUUCUCUUUAUACAAGCUGAGCAAUCAGUAAAAUGCAUGAUGUACUCUUAGUAUGACAUGCUAAACAAGCGAACAAAUCGCUCAUUGAACUCGUUCUUUCAAAUGUCAGUAUCGACACUAUGUCUACAAUGAUAAAAUUCGUAACUGCCAUCCAUCAAAUGCUGAGCCGCAAAAUUCUUCACGCUAGCUGGACCAUGGUUGUCCGUCUCCGGUUUUGCCGACUGCUGAGAUCUCUAAGAUUGGCCAGCCAACUGGGUUGGUUUGGAUAUUGUUUUCUAUUGAAAAGGAAUCAAUUGUCUGUGCGAGUCACCUUCUUCUAGAGUCCGCUGGAUGACGCGGCAUUUUCAUCCAAUAUGACCACUUAGGUCUACGUUGCCACGAUAUUGUUCCAUGGAAGCGGGUGGUUGGCCUGAUUUUUUUGGUGUCGUAGGGAGGGAUUGAUAAAGCAUAUUUAGUCGUACCUUCAAUUGUGAAAAGAUGAAAUCUUUGAUUCAUUGAAAUCACAAAUUAACAAUGAUUACUUAUAAUUGCUUAAAUCUUUUUUUCUUUCAUUAGUAGAAUCUGACUUGUCAAGAGUUAACUAUUAUCUUCCGUUAUGCUUUCAUUUACCUGAAUCCUUUGAAGUUGAACUCAAAGUUUUAAGUGAAAAUUUCAGCCAGCCACCUCUCCUGAGUUCAAUGGUUUUAGAUAUAUACGAUCGAACAGGCGAUAAGGACUUGAUUGAAAAAGCUCUUCCUGCAUUGCUAAAGGAGCAUGAUUUUUGGAAUUCAGGUUUUGAUAAAUCAUGCCUUUGCUUUUUGUUCCCCCUCCCCCCCCGGGAAAAAAAAAAUAUAUAUAUAUAUUUUGACUUUUAGUGCAUGUUUAGUAUGUAAAACUGGACAGGAUUAUAGAUUCUUUUUCUACUUUAAUACCAACUAUCCAAUACUUACCAAACGUGACAGUGAUUUAUCAACCUCUCGCAAUCCUCUUCUACACUUUUGAAUUUUUAAUUUAUGGGCACCCCUUUUAUCCAGGCUCUUAUUUACUCACUCAACAUAUGCGAGCACAUGAAUGUGUGGGGUCAAAUAAAGUAUUUAUCCAUUUUGGUCUUUAUUUUUAUUGUUGAAGGGAUACAUAAGGUGAUUGUUCGGGAUGCUAAAGGUUCACUACAUACUUUAAAUCGAUACUAUGCAAUGUGGAACAAACCAAGGCCAGAGUCAUCAACUAUUGUAAGAGUCAUUUUACUAAUCUUGCUAAGUAAUUGUUGCGGAAUGAUAUUUUUCUGGAUUACGAAUUUGUUUGUUAUUAUCUUAAAGCAAUUACUAACCUUGCAGGACAGUGAAAUAGCUUCCAAAUUAUCAAAUACCUGUGAGAAAAGGAAGCUCUAUCGUGAAUUGGCAUCAACGGCCGAAUCCGGAUGGGAUUUCAGUACUAGAUGGAUGAGGUAGCAUGAGUUUCCUUACUAUCAUAUAAUAAUCAAUAGUUUGUCUAUUUCUGGAGUGCCCAACGUACAAAGCAGGGCCGAUCCUUGACCUGGCAGUUAUUGGGCUGAGCUGUACAGCCUAUGUGGCUCGGCUCAUUUUGACUCCACUAUAGAGGUGGUUUUCUUCUUGGCCAGCUGCCAAGUCAAGGUGUCAUCUAUUCAAUAUUUGGUGGUUUGCAUAUGUUUCAGG
RNAcentral lists this long non-coding RNA (40775 nucleotides) under Olea europaea (common olive). Its description in RNAcentral is "long non-coding RNA (OEUR_LNC009450)". Lineage: Eukaryota; Viridiplantae; Streptophyta; Magnoliopsida; Lamiales; Oleaceae. The record is from RNAcentral.